Molecule: ribosomal RNA, 468 nt
Filed under: uncultured bacterium
Lineage: Bacteria
Description: partial 16S ribosomal RNA
Rfam family: Bacterial small subunit ribosomal RNA
Source: RNAcentral
GACGAACGCUGGCGGCGUGCUUAACACAUGCAAGUCGAACGGAAAGGCCCUGCUUUUGUGGGGUGCUCGAGUGGCGAACGGGUGAGUAACACGUGAGUAACCUGCCCUUGACUUUGGGAUAACUUCAGGAAACUGGGGCUAAUACCGGAUAGGAGCUCCUGCUGCAUGGUGGGGGUUGGAAAGUUUCGGCGGUUGGGGAUGGACUCGCGGCUUAUCAGCUUGUUGGUGGGGUAGUGGCUUACCAAGGCUUUGACGGGUAGCCGGCCUGGGAGGGUGACCGGCCACAAGGGGACUGCGAUACGGACCAGACGCGUACGGGAGGCAGCGGGGGGGAGUAUUGCACAAUGGGCGGGAGCCUGAGGCAGCGGCGCCGCGUGCGGGAUGACGGCCUUCGGGUUGAGAACCGCUUUCGCCUGAGACGAAGCGUGAGUGACGGUAAUGGGUAAAGAAGCACCGGCUAACUACGUG